Molecule: non-coding RNA, 63 nt
Organism: Microvirga aerilata
Lineage: Bacteria; Pseudomonadati; Pseudomonadota; Alphaproteobacteria; Hyphomicrobiales; Methylobacteriaceae
Source: Rfam
CCCCUGAUCCGGGCCCCUCUGACGCAGGAAGCGGUGGCGCUUGCGUGAUGUCGGAUCGUUACC